Molecule: ribosomal RNA, 253 nt
Filed under: uncultured bacterium
Lineage: Bacteria
Description: partial 16S ribosomal RNA
Rfam family: Bacterial small subunit ribosomal RNA
Source: RNAcentral
UACAGAGGUCCCAAGCGUUGUUCGGAUUCACUGGGCGUAAAGGGUGCGUAGGUGGUCAGAUAAGUCUGAUGUGAAAGCUCUGGGCUCAACCCAGAAAUGGCAUUGGAUACUAUUUGGCUUGAGGAAUGGAGGGGGGACUGGACUACUUGGUGUAGCAGUGAAAUGCGUAGAUAUCAAGUGGAACACCAGUGGCGAAGGCGAGUCCCUGGACAUUUCCUGACACUGAGGCACGAAAGCUAGGGGAGCAAACAGG